GAUGAAGAACGUAGCGAAAUGCGAUAAGUAAUGCGAAUUGCAGAAUUCCGUGAGUCAUCGAAUCUUUGAACGCACAUUGCGCCCUCUGGUAUUCCGGAGGGCAUGCCUGUCUGAGCGUCAUUGUCAACCCUCAAGCUCAGCUUGCUGUUGGGUCCCCGUCGUUGCUUUAACGGCUGACCCGAAAGGUAAUGGCAGAGUCCGUGAGACCCUAGACGCAGCGAGCUUCUAGCACGCGUCUGGACGUUUUUCGGGCUCGGUCUUAACUAGAUGAUAACUUCCGAUUGACCUCAGAUCAGGUAGGGAUACCCGCUGAACUUAAGCAUAUCAAUAAGCGGAGGA
Molecule: unclassified non-coding RNA, 339 nt
Filed under: soil metagenome
Description: partial contains 5.8S ribosomal RNA, internal transcribed spacer 2, and large subunit ribosomal RNA
Rfam family: 5.8S ribosomal RNA (bases 1-120)
Source: RNAcentral